GACAGAGGGUGCAAGCGUUGUUCGGAAUCAUUGGGCGUAAAGGGCGCGUAGGCGGCUUUGUAAGUCGGAUGUGAAAUCCCAGGGCUCAACCGUGGAAGUGCAUCCGAAACUGCGAAGCUCGAGUCCCGGAGAGGGUGGUGGAAUUCCCAGUGUAGAGGUGAAAUUCGUAGAUAUCGGGAGGAACACCGGUGGCGAAGGCGGCGAUCUGGGUCGAUACUGACGCUGAGGUGCGAAAGUGUGGGGAGCGAACAGG
Molecule: ribosomal RNA, 253 nt
Filed under: uncultured bacterium
Lineage: Bacteria
Description: partial 16S ribosomal RNA
Rfam family: Bacterial small subunit ribosomal RNA
Source: RNAcentral